This 1082-nucleotide long non-coding RNA is filed under the name Nicotiana benthamiana. RNAcentral's name for it is "long non-coding RNA (NBEN_LNC042475)". The record is from RNAcentral. Lineage: Eukaryota; Viridiplantae; Streptophyta; Magnoliopsida; Solanales; Solanaceae.
UUCCUCUUCAGAGUAAUAAAAUAUUCUCUGUGUGGCUAUGGAGUAGGCAAAAAUUGCCAAACUACGUAAAUUGUCUUGCUUUGUUUUGCGAGUUCUUAUUAUUUUCUCUUUAAAUUAUUAUAUAUUUCAUUUAUUUCGACAAGUUUCCCAACAAACCAAACAUGAAAAACUUGAAAAAUAUUUUUUUUCGUAUCAAACACACACUUUCUCUUCAUUAAGUUGGAUAUAAAAUAUCUAUGUUUUCAAGGUGAAAAAUAGCUUCAAUAGAAAUAAUUUUGACCCUUUCCUAUGGGUUAAACUUGAUGGAUUUUCAAUGUCUUUGUCUUAUGCUUUUUAUGUUUUGAUGAUCUAACAAACUUAUUGUUAAGAACCAGAUAGAGAACCUAACCCAGUUGGUACACAUUUCAAAUGAACCAUAUCCAGUCUGAUCUGCAGCAAAUGAACUGCUAUAAAGAAAAACACAACAGAGACCUGUUCCCUUAGGGUUCUAUUACAGAAGUACAAGUUAACUAUACAGCUGGAACACAACUGCAGAAAGUGACUGUCCGUAUCUGUACAAGCGAUAGUGCAGUAGUCACUUCUUAUUGGGAAGAAGCGUAUACCAAGAAUUGACAUCACCAUUGUGAUAUCUUUUGUAGUAUAACAACCUGGUGCAAGGCACAACAUUACUCACUUGAGCAUUUAGUGAUAUUCCCUCGAGCAGUAAAGUGUUCAUCCAGCAUUGAAGUCACAAGUGCGUCAAGAAUAAUAAGACAACUCCACUAAAGGAUCAGUUUCACAAAGAGUCUAUGUGUAUCCAUAGUUGAGUUGUAAUCUUGUUAUUUGCUCUUCAUUGUAAUUGCUAUCUUGCUUUCUUAGAAGCUUUCUUUUAGGAAAACAUAAAAUCACAAACCGUCUAAGUUUGUGUUGUGACUAGAGUUAGUCAUAAGUCACUAGAGAGUGACAAAGUAGCUUGUGGUAAGAGUAUCACAAGUUAGUUAAAUUGAAGUCUUUGUAAUAAAGUCAUUACAAAGUUGCUUGUAAUAGUGAGAUUAAAAGUUAGUGAAGUUGAAAGCCUACAAGUGUAGGUCGGCAUCUCUUUU